This 233-nucleotide ribosomal RNA is filed under the name uncultured Lactobacillus sp. Its description in RNAcentral is "partial 16S ribosomal RNA". It matches the Rfam family "Bacterial small subunit ribosomal RNA", at positions 129 to 355 of the family's 1533-position model. Lineage: Bacteria; Bacillati; Bacillota; Bacilli; Lactobacillales; Lactobacillaceae. The record is from RNAcentral.
CCCAAGAGAUCGGGAUAACACCUGGAAACAGAUGCUAAUACCGGAUAACAACAGAUGAUGCCUAUCAACUGUUUAAAAGAUGGUUCUGCUAUCACUCUUGGAUGGACCUGCGGUGCAUUAGCUAGUUGGUAGGGCAACGGCCUACCAAGGCGAUGAUGCAUAGCCGAGUUGAGAGACUGAUCGGCCACAUUGGGACUGAGACACGGCCCAAACUCCUACGGGAGGCAGCAGCA